RNAcentral lists this ribosomal RNA (448 nucleotides) under uncultured prokaryote. RNAcentral's name for it is "bacterial SSU rRNA". It matches the Rfam family "Bacterial small subunit ribosomal RNA", at positions 355 to 796 of the family's 1533-position model. The record is from RNAcentral.
UCGGGAACCUUGCACAAUGGGCGAAAGCCUGAUGCAGCAACGCCGUGUGAGCGAGGAAGGUCUUCGGAUCGUAAAGCUCUGUUGUUGGGGACGAAGGGCGAAGGGUUAAUAGCCCCUAGCCUGACGGUACCCUUCGAGGAAGCCCCGGCUAACUCCGUGCCAGCAGCCGCGGUAAUACGGAGGAUGCAAGCGUUAUCCGGAAUCAUUGGGCGUAAAGCGUCCGCAGGUGGUUCAUCAAGUCUGCUGUUAAAGACAGAAGCUCAACUUCUGAAAGGCAGUGGAAACUGGAGAACUAGAGUACGGUAGGGGUCGAGGGAAUUCCCAGUGUAGCGGUGAAAUGCGUAGAGAUUGGGAAGAACACCAGUGGCGAAGGCGCUCGACUGGGCCGUAACUGACACUCAGGGACGAAAGCUAGGGUAGCGAAAGGGAUUAGAUACCCGUGUAGUCC